This 1465-nucleotide ribosomal RNA is filed under the name Escherichia coli. RNAcentral describes it as "partial 23S ribosomal RNA". It matches the Rfam family "Bacterial large subunit ribosomal RNA", at positions 422 to 1873 of the family's 2925-position model. Lineage: Bacteria; Pseudomonadati; Pseudomonadota; Gammaproteobacteria; Enterobacterales; Enterobacteriaceae. The record is from RNAcentral.
ACACGUGGUAUCCUGUCUGAAUAUGGGGGGACCAUCCUCCAAGGCUAAAUACUCCUGACUGACCGAUAGUGAACCAGUACCGUGAGGGAAAGGCGAAAAGAACCCCGGCGAGGGGAGUGAAAAAGAACCUGAAACCGUGUACGUACAAGCAGUGGGAGCACGCUUAGGCGUGUGACUGCGUACCUUUUGUAUAAUGGGUCAGCGACUUAUAUUCUGUAGCAAGGUUAACCGAAUAGGGGAGCCGAAGGGAAACCGAGUCUUAACUGGGCGUUAAGUUGCAGGGUAUAGACCCGAAACCCGGUGAUCUAGCCAUGGGCAGGUUGAAGGUUGGGUAACACUAACUGGAGGACCGAACCGACUAAUGUUGAAAAAUUAGCGGAUGACUUGUGGCUGGGGGUGAAAGGCCAAUCAAACCGGGAGAUAGCUGGUUCUCCCCGAAAGCUAUUUAGGUAGCGCCUCGUGAAUUCAUCUCCGGGGGUAGAGCACUGUUUCGGCAAGGGGGUCAUCCCGACUUACCAACCCGAUGCAAACUGCGAAUACCGGAGAAUGUUAUCACGGGAGACACACGGCGGGUGCUAACGUCCGUCGUGAAGAGGGAAACAACCCAGACCGCCAGCUAAGGUCCCAAAGUCAUGGUUAAGUGGGAAACGAUGUGGGAAGGCCCAGACAGCCAGGAUGUUGGCUUAGAAGCAGCCAUCAUUUAAAGAAAGCGUAAUAGCUCACUGGUCGAGUCGGCCUGCGCGGAAGAUGUAACGGGGCUAAACCAUGCACCGAAGCUGCGGCAGCGACACUAUGUGUUGUUGGGUAGGGGAGCGUUCUGUAAGCCUGUGAAGGUGUGCUGUGAGGCAUGCUGGAGGUAUCAGAAGUGCGAAUGCUGACAUAAGUAACGAUAAAGCGGGUGAAAAGCCCGCUCGCCGGAAGACCAAGGGUUCCUGUCCAACGUUAAUCGGGGCAGGGUGAGUCGACCCCUAAGGCGAGGCCGAAAGGCGUAGUCGAUGGGAAACAGGUUAAUAUUCCUGUACUUGGUGUUACUGCGAAGGGGGGACGGAGAAGGCUAUGUUGGCCGGGCGACGGUUGUCCCGGUUUAAGCGUGUAGGCUGGUUUUCCAGGCAAAUCCGGAAAAUCAAGGCUGAGGCGUGAUGACGAGGCACUACGGUGCUGAAGCAACAAAUGCCCUGCUUCCAGGAAAAGCCUCUAAGCAUCAGGUAACAUCAAAUCGUACCCCAAACCGACACAGGUGGUCAGGUAGAGAAUACCAAGGCGCUUGAGAGAACUCGGGUGAAGGAACUAGGCAAAAUGGUGCCGUAACUUCGGGAGAAGGCACGCUGAUAUGUAGGUGAGGUCCCUCGCGGAUGGAGCUGAAAUCAGUCGAAGAUACCAGCUGGCUGCAACUGUUUAUUAAAAACACAGCACUGUGCAAACACGAAAGUGGACGUAUACGGUGUGACGCCUGCCCGGUGCCGGA